RNAcentral lists this long non-coding RNA (630 nucleotides) under Ananas comosus (pineapple). RNAcentral describes it as "long non-coding RNA (ACOM_LNC037263)". Lineage: Eukaryota; Viridiplantae; Streptophyta; Magnoliopsida; Poales; Bromeliaceae. The record is from RNAcentral.
AAAACGUUCGUAUCGACGAGUAGAACAGAACCCAAGUGGUUUCACCCUCUGAAAUUGGCUGUAAUUUCUGGAUUUUUGAAUCAAAGAAUUCCGCCGCCUGACUUUCAAACUCAGAUCCCGGCCAAUCCGAUCGUCGAAAUCGAAAAUAAAUUAUACCGGUGAAUUCGUCUUGACGAGAUCUUCGAAUCGAUACCUUACUCGCUCAAAUCCGAUAUAGGAUCGUAAUACUUUAAGAUUGUUGGAGGUUAGGGUUUUUAGGUGCUUAAAGUAUUACACCAAGAGACGUCAAGUUUGGAACGCUCAACAGUGUUACCUCCAGCAUAGGAAACCCUAGAAUUUUUAAAUAAGCUAUUGGGCUCCAGAGAUAUGGGCCUAAUUACGCUUUCACUUAUUGGGCUUGUAUGUGAACAUAUUAUUUGGAUUAUAUUAUAACAAAAUAUCCAAUAAUAAUAAUAUAUCCAACAAAGUAUACACAAAAUAAUCUAAACAGAGAUGAUGUACACAUGCUACACCAGUUAUUGGUUCAUAUGACAGCAGAAAAUAACUAUAAUUUUUUUUUGAUUAAACAGGGAUAGAAAAUAACUAUAAUUAAAACCGGAAACAUACAAUUUUAUUGACCGAUAAAACAUU